AGGACGAACGCUGGCGGCGUGCUUAAUACAUGCAAGUCGAACGAGGUUCACUUCGGUGGGCCUAGUGGCGAACGGGUGAGUAACACGUGGGCAACCUGCCCCUCACACUGGGAUAACCUCGGGAAACCGGGGCUAAUACCGGAUACGACCUCGAGCGGCAUCUCUUGAGGUGGAAAGCUCCGACGGUGAGGGAUGGGCCCGCGGCCUAUCAGCUUGUUGGUGGGGUAAUGGCCUACCAAGGCGACGACGGGUA
This 253-nucleotide ribosomal RNA is filed under the name uncultured bacterium. Its description in RNAcentral is "partial small subunit ribosomal RNA". It matches the Rfam family "Bacterial small subunit ribosomal RNA", at positions 26 to 285 of the family's 1533-position model. The record is from RNAcentral.